This 433-nucleotide ribosomal RNA is filed under the name uncultured bacterium. RNAcentral's name for it is "partial 16S ribosomal RNA". It matches the Rfam family "Bacterial small subunit ribosomal RNA", at positions 29 to 506 of the family's 1533-position model. The record is from RNAcentral.
AGCGAACGCUGGCGGCAGGCCUAACACAUGCAAGUCGAACGAACCUUUCGGGGUUAGUGGCGGACGGGUGAGUAACACGUGGGAACGUGCCUUUAGGCUCGGAAUAACUCAGGGAAACUUGUGCUAAUACCGAAUGUGCCCUUCGGGGGAAAGAUUUAUCGCCUUUAGAGCGGCCCGCGUCUGAUUAGCUAGUUGGUUGAGGUAAUGGCUCACCAAGGCGACGAUCAGUAGCUGGUCUGAGAGGAUGAUCAGCCACAUUGGGACUGAGACACGGCCCAAACUCCUACGGGAGGCAGCAGUGGGGAAUCUUGCGCAAUGGGCGAAAGCCUUACGCAGCCAUGCCGCGUGAAUGAUGAAGGUCUUAGGAUUGUAAAAUUCUUUCACCGGGGACGAUAAUGACGGUACCCGGAGAAGAAGCCCCGGCUAACUUCGU